AUGACAAAAUCAAUACAUGUAUUUUUUCAAGCCACUAUCGCAGUACACGGUGAUAAACUCUAUAGUAUACAGUUGUUUUUUCGUAAUGUCUCGUUUUGCAACUACCUAUUCAACCAUUUACAUUCCACCAUGUCUAGAAGAAGAGGACCGUCCUGCAAAAAACUACAAAGAACCCAGUGUAAACAAAUGCAUGAAGUGUACUAAAUCGCAGGUGCCUAACGGAGUGAUAUCAGUGGACUCAUUGGAAUGCACAAAUUGCAAAAAAAUUGCGUCACGAGUGUUGUGUAAGUGUUAUUGUGUACAUAAGAAAUGUUGUCAUUCCCAUGAUACAUUCUGUAUGACCGAUGCCGAAUCUAUAAACUGUUGCAAACGUUGUGUUAAUGCAAUUUGUGAUAAGAAAUGUGAAACCCCCUGCUGCUCAAAGGACUAUUCAUGUAAAGCAAUGCAAAAAGCACGUGGAUCGAAAACAAAAUCAGUUUUAUUACCUGUUUGUCGAUGUCGUGAAACAAAACCGUUUGCCGACACUUGUCAAACGUCGGUAUCGGCAUUUUCUAAACGUCAAGAACAGCUGGAAAAGCUUCGCGAUACAUCAAUGAGAAGCAGUAGGCUGUGCCGAUGUAACUUGAAGAUCACGGGGCAAUAUUUACGAUAGAUAGAAUUUCGUGUUGAAACCAAACGACCGUGGAUAGAAAUUAUCAGUAACUCGAAUUUGGGACAACAGAAUGUAUUCAAAGAAAAUUUGUAAGCAAUCUGUUUGGAAUACCACAUAUCUAACUUCUUACACUGGUCAGAAUCCAUUACGACCGCCGGUUUCACCGAAAAAAGUUAAACCAUACGUUCCAGAGCAUCGUGAAAGAUACCUAGAACACAUGGGUACAAAAUCUCCAUUACAGCACAUUCCAUUCGAGGCUUCACCUAAGCUCGGCCUACAAUGAAUUAAUCAUUUGGUAAUGUCUAUUGUGAAAUUCAUUGUAAGCAAAAUCUAUGGAGCACUGUUCAUUUAUAUUACUGGAUGCUUGUUGGACGGAAAUAAAACAUAGUGUAGCAUAGUGGUAUUGAAAUUUUAAUGCAAAUAAAUGUCACAUCAAAACUAUUCACGUAA
Anopheles merus is the source of this 1102-nucleotide long non-coding RNA. RefSeq lists it as uncharacterized. The record is from RefSeq and is a predicted model, not a curated record. The transcript is spliced from 2 exons. Lineage: Eukaryota; Metazoa; Arthropoda; Insecta; Diptera; Culicidae.